Zingiber officinale is the source of this 1008-nucleotide long non-coding RNA. RefSeq lists it as uncharacterized. The transcript has 2 exons. The record is from RefSeq and is a predicted model, not a curated record. NCBI's taxonomy places the organism in Eukaryota, Viridiplantae, Streptophyta, Magnoliopsida, Zingiberales, Zingiberaceae.
CUCGUCGCAUGAUUCCUCCCUCACCCACGCCGCGCGGCGCUCGCACGUCGACGCCGCCACCGCGCGUCGACAGUGGCCAAGGACGACCGCCGCCUACGCCCGGACGGGUUCCUCCUUCCUUACGGCAUUCUCGCCCGCAUCUCCGCACUCGCGCGUCCCUCCCCACGCGCCGACUGCCGCGGUUUCCACCGAGGGAAGCAUCGCGCUGCCCGGCACAGCGCAUCCGACCACCGGCCUCCCUGUUCACGACUCCCAUAGUCGCCGGGCACGAACUUGUGCCCUGUUGCCGCCGGUGACCCCCCAGAUCGGGAUCCCCGGUCCUGUACACAGCUGCAACUGUGCGUCCGACCCUCGGCGCAACUCCUUGUGGUGUCUUCGUAGCGCUGCCGCUGGAACAUGCCACCGCGAGCAACCCGGUUGUCUUGCGCAGUCGCGUUACCAUCGUGUGCAGCCGCCGUGACUCGCGAGCAGCCCUGCCCAGCCUCCCCUGGUUCUUGUCGAGGGUUAGCAGAUAGAGGAUGUGUGUCACUCAGAGGUCUUCGCUGCCAGUCCCACUCGAGUUCAGAUUUCCGAGUUUGGAUUUCUAUAUGAGUGUUACUUUACUUUCCGCUGCUUAUAGUUUGAGUUUCCACUUUGUAUCGAAUGUUUAUAUCGUUGAUUAUGUUUUUAGUUAAAUUAAUUUGCUUCGUUAGUGAUGUGGAAAAUCUGAAGGAAUUUAUGUUCCUGAAUUGAUGAUUCUGUAUUUUCAAAAAUCUAUUUCUGAAACAGAGUUCAAAAAGCUAGAAACUGUGAUAGCAGAAGUCUUAUGUGUAUGCUGUGGUGCUCUACGAUUUCUUCUUUUUGCUUUCAAGUAAUGUAACGUGAAUGCAUCUUUCAAGUGGUUUGAAAGGAGAAUGUAAAUCUCGGGAGUUGCAGGAACCAAUGGUAAUUCCAAAUUUCUGAAACUGUACCCUUGAAUCUGUUUGCUUUGUCUAAUAAUUCAUAAUUUCUGAAACUUUGUUGAAACAA